Molecule: long non-coding RNA, 384 nt
Organism: Oncorhynchus tshawytscha (Chinook salmon)
Lineage: Eukaryota; Metazoa; Chordata; Actinopteri; Salmoniformes; Salmonidae
Source: Ensembl
GCCACAGGGAGUCAGUUAGCAGGUCGGAGCCACAGGGAGACAGUUAGCAGGUUGGAUCCACAGGGAGCCAGUUAGCAGGUUGGAUCCACAGGGAGUCAGUUAGCAGGUCGGAGCCACAGGGAGACAGUUAGCAGGUUGGAUCCACAGGGAGCCAGUUAGCAGGUCAGAACCACAGGGAGUCAGUAAGCAGGUCAGAGCCACAGGGAGUCAGUUAGCAGGUUGGAGCCACAGGGAGACAAUUAGCAGGUUGGAGACACAGGGAGAGGGUUAGCAGGUUGGAUCCACAGGGAGACAGUUAGCAGGUCAGAACCACAGGGAGUCAGUUAGCAGGUCAGAGCCACAGGGAGUCAGUUAGCAGGUUGGAGCCACAGGGAGACAGUUAGC